RNAcentral lists this long non-coding RNA (43062 nucleotides) under Sorghum bicolor (sorghum). RNAcentral's name for it is "long non-coding RNA (SBIC_LNC002303)". Lineage: Eukaryota; Viridiplantae; Streptophyta; Magnoliopsida; Poales; Poaceae. The record is from RNAcentral.
ACGCAUCACAAUCCAAACCAACAUAAAUAUGCACAAUAUGUUGUGUUUGAUUAUCUUGUACAUGCAAAAAUAAAGUAGAAAACUGCUACGGCCUGCGUGCAGGCACACAACUCCACCCGCACACCUUCUCUUUCCCGCGUGCAUUCCCUUUUUCCUCGUGUGCUCCCUUGCAGCCUUAUCAUUCUACUGGCUCUGAUGACGUCUAUGUCACAUCCGCUGCUGCCCUCGACCCCCUCUAGAUCUGACAUUUUUCCCUUAUUCUUUAGUGGGUGCCCACUGCCCCGCCGCCUCGCCGUGGCGCGGUAGGGUCUUGUUGGAGCUUUGGGGCAGACUCCUUCUCCCCCACCCUCCAGCUGCUACCAUGGCCAUGGGCGCCUCCGUCCCGACUUUUCCCGGCUGCCUCCUAUGCCACCGAAACCCUAAUUACCCCCUCCUCCUGUCAUCCCUACCGUCUAGCUGACCUGCCUUCCCGAGCCCCUUCUAAACCUGUCGGAGUUGAGGAAGAAGAGAGGGAGAGUCGAAGAGAGAGAGCACUGAACCCACCACUGCCCAAACCCUAGUUGUUGUCGUCUUCUUCUUUGUCAUCGCAAGCAUGGUCAGGUGUGGAUAAGUGGGAGCGGUCCGAUUGUGAAUGGACGAUGGAUCAGCAUGUGCAGGAUGUUGAAUGAAAUCCUGCACGCUCAGAAAGAAGCAUUCCCAAAUAAAGUAAGAUUUGUUUUUGUUCAUCUACAUGUUCGGUUAAACUAUAGAGGCGAAAAUUCUUUUUUUAUGAACCCCAUCAAUUUGUGCAAGUCUACAUGUUUUUGUUCAUCUACAUUACCUAAUACAAUCAAAUCUAGUUUACUAGCUAAUGCAGCAUUAGAUUUGCUUUAAACACUCUACAAAUCUGUAUAAGGGGCUCUACGGACAACCGAAUACGCCUAAACAACACUUCAAAAGCGCUAUGAGCACCAUAUAAAUCUAUACAAGAGCCUAUGCAGGCAACAAACACAGGUAAAUUGAACUACAAAUGCUAGGAUAUAGGCAACCGAACGCACCCGUACUACUCGGAUUUCUCGUGCUUUGAACUUCAUGUAGAAAUAUAUAAAUCGAUAAAAAAAAAACCGUCACCACUAAGGCUGAUGUUACUAGCAUUGACCAACAAGGAAAGCUAGCGAAGUCACAAUCAACUGCAAAUCAAGACACCAUCUAUCUCCACACAUGCAAGAUGCAGCAAACAAAUAGGUGACCAUAAAAAUAUAACCUAAACAACAACGGUGGAAUAUAUGCAAAUUGUAAAACAGGUUGUCUUUGGAAUGCAGUAUCACCCCCUCCUGUGUUUUUACUGUGAAAAUGGCCUGAUUCCUUUGUUCCAUAGGUCCGUAAUACAGAAUGAAACAGUGGAAUAUAAUACUAAAAAAGACGAUGCAAAGUGUGCAAAAUCAAUCAAUACCCACGUAUCAAAAUGCACUUGAGCUUCCGUACCUCAGAAUAGAAACCAUAUGUUAUGUUAUUGGUAUAAUAACAUGCUCACUUGGAUAUCAAGAUUAAAAAAAUGAUAAAGGAGCUCAAGGUACAACAUUCAGACAAAGCAACAAAUCCCAUAUUGGUUCUGUUCUCCUGAAGAUUCCUUCAACAAUCAAGAAUAAAAAACACUACUUGCACAAAAAAGAGUAUUUCAACAAAAGAAAUCAAUGAAAGAUGUAACAUGUAGCAAAUUAAAAUUCAGAAAUACCAAACAUUGGACACAUUAAAUUUCAUGCCAUCUAAGCUAGAGAUUCUGUUACCCUUCAACUUCUAAGCAGAACAAUAGACAGCUCUCCAGGAGAUUGAUAUCUAAGUGAUAUAGGCAUGCAAGUUGAAUUUCACAAAACUGAAAAUGGCUACACUGUAAAAACUUCUGCAUAAUAUACAUAUAGAAUAACACAGGGCAAGCUACAACCAUGAAACCUAAGGCAGCCUGACCGUUAAAAAACUUGUUUGUGUCAUGCUUAGCCCAAAAGGUCCUCAAACUUCAAAAAACCAAAAUAAUAUGUUCAAAUAAGAACAUGAUCCUCUUUUGGGGGUUUCUUCCCCUAGUACUCUCUUUUCUUCUUAAUGAAAUGAUACACAGCUCUCUGACAUGUUUGAGGAAGAAAAGAGAGAACAUGAUCCAAUCACCACAUCUGCAUAACUAUUAAACUUUAUCCUAGCUAUUAACAUAAUCACAGAAAUGUUAGAAAAAGAAAACUAUCCAAAACACACACGAAUCCCAUAAGCUCUGAACUAAAAGAGAAAGCUUAAUGAUGUAUUAUACCAACUUACCUAUGAAAGAAAACUAGAACCCCAGUAGUUCAACCAGAUUAAGCAAACAACUUAAUUCCUUUUGCAUUUCCCUGCAGUGGAUAACAAUUACAAAAACAACUAACCGGAUGAUUACUUAGUUUUGUUGCAUCCAGAUAUCAAUUCAACAAACCAGGAACCAAAUCAUAAACAUAUCGACUAAAACAGAGCCUCUUCAUUAAGCAUAUACAAAUAACAACCUGCACAGAACCGAACUAAUUACAAAUUUUCAAAUACUGCAUUAUAAAGAUCCAUUUGUCAUACAGUUGGAAAUCUGCUGCACCAGUCGAAUUGUUCAUUCAAGCUUCAUAACCAUAUUUCAACACCUGAACACUUGAUGUAAAAUGUUUUGGAAAAGACACUUAUCUCAAUGCCAAAGCAAUUAAAUUUGACUUCUCAACCAUUUUUGACAACCACAACACUAAGAUAUGGUCCUAGCCUCCUAGGCUCAAGGAUAGCCUCUUUAUUCUAACAUGGAUUAUGGAACCAUAGCAACCAAAUACCAUAAAAAAAGUUAAGCACAACCUCCACAUAACCUUUCUGAAGAAAUACUACUUCCUCAGACUGCUGAUAUAAUUCCAUCUGGUCUUGUCCUAAGUCAAACCUGUUGAACUUUAUCUAGCAAUAUUUACAUAAAUAUAUCUCAAACAUAAAGACUUAUAGAUUACGAAAGUAUUUGUUAUUGUGAAUCUAGUAGUGUGAACCUUAUGUUGCCAAUCUAAAUAAAAUGCUAGAUAUUAGUGGUCAAAGUUAAAAAAAAGUUCGACUUACGACAAGCAUAGAUGGACUUAUGUUUAUGAUGGGAGGAAGUAUAUGCCAACCAGCACUUUGACAAGAAAAUAGAUGAACUAAAACCAAAGUUCUAUAAACAUUUCACGGUGAGCAAGAAGGCCAGAAACGACAAUAUUUGCUUUUGCACAGACUGCUGGAGGUAUGAAGAUGUGGUCAAAGAUUUAGUUUCUUAAAUCCGUUGAGUAUGAAUUGUAAGACAUCAAAUACAUAAUAUAAGUACUUCAUAAACACAACUUAAAGAUAUGCCAUACAAUAAGUUAACACUUAACCAGCUUCUCACAAGUUAUACCGGUAAGAGCAGUGUGAUCAGGGGUCUCCCCUUGCCAUUUUGCAUUCAAACCCUAGUACAACUUCUUAUUGCAAUGCCAGGGAGUGUCACCCCCCAGUGGUCAAGUUUAUUUUAAUAUGUUAACAGUUAUUUCCAAAAAAAGGUGCUGGUAAAUGUCUUCCAGCAGACAAAGACACAAAUCCUCCACAUAAUGCCAUUACUUCCACACAGAUUUAAUUAAUGCAAUGAAUUUCAUGCCACCUAAAUUAGAGACUAUUAUGGUUACACUAAAUUUUGCAAAGUGAAGGAUACAGACAUACUUCAAUUGGGUCAACAUCUGAAGCUCAAAAUAAGCAUGAAAAUUAGUUUUUGAAACUGAACAUGGCUACAAACUAAUCCUACAGAUUCUGCAGAUUGGCACAAAAACAUACAAGCAAUAAAUCAGGCCUAACUACAGCUCUACAACCAGUGGCGGAUCCAGGAUCACCGAUUUAGGGUGGAGGGGGGGCACUUCUCUUUCUCCUCAUCUUCCUCCAUUUUUUCACUUCUUCAUCCAUGCAUAAAAUUGUUGGGGACUCCAUUUUCCGAGCAGGUGUAGGGGGCUCAACCUCCCCCAGCACCUACGCUGGAUCCGACCUGCUACAACCUACAAAGCGACAAACAUAGCAUGCCUAUUUCUUUACCUGAUCGUUACAAACUUAUUUGUACCAUGCUUAGCCCAAAACGUCUUCAAGUUAAUUGGAUUAGCAAGGUUGUACCCUUCACCAGCCAGCUUCUCAAGCACCUUUUUGAAUGCACCAUGGCUCAUCUUCCUUCCAGAAAUACGUGCACCCCGGCGCUUUGUGCUCAUUGGAAGUGGAUACAUAGAUAUAGAAGUUGUGCAGCAUGCAGACUGCCAGCCACCUGCACCCCACCGGUAGCAUUGCUGGGGAGAUCCGGUGCACGAGCAGACUGGUGUUGGUAUGUUGGCAAGGUCCAGCUCAAUACCAUUAAUCACCAUCCCCACAGUCUUCUUAGGUCCCCUCCUUCGGGGCGCAUGCCCAUUGGGUGCUCCAUCCUCCACUGGAACAGCAGCCUUCUUAGGCUUUUUAGGCUUUGGUGACUUAGGCUGCCGGUUCUGCUGCCGGCCCCGCUGCCUCUUUUUCACAGGUGGCCCGGUACUAACUGCAGUGUGAUCCUCUAUCAGUGGAGGUGGCGCUUCCUCUUCCUUACAUGGAGGAGGCUCCUGAAGCUGUGUCUCAAGCUGUGGUUGCAUCAUCUGGAGAGUAUGCUGUGCAUCUGAUAUCAUCUCAUAGCCAGUAGGAUGGUGAUGCACAAUAUGUCCACCAUGCGCAGGAUGGCCACCAUAGCCUGGAUGACCAACAUGUCCAUCUGGCCCAAUAGGGCGAGAAUGAAGGACCCUCUGCUCACGGGGACGUUGGUGGUGGUGUGGCUGGUGCAACCAAGCUUCAUUGCGUGAGAAGUCCAUGUGAAUAGGUUGCGACUCGGUGGGCAUGCCACCAGAGGCUCGACCACCAGCGGGGCCACGGGAAUGUAGCGAGUGCUGCAUGUGGAGCUGGUGUGGGGCAUUGUGGUGUCCAUGGUGCUGCAAGAAGGCACCGUUCGGGAGCAGUGACUUUGUGUCCCGGUCAGGUGGCGCAGACGACAUGAGCUGCAGGCCGAGGUUGCCUUUGACAGUGUCAUAGAAGCCCCAAUUCCGAAUGCCUAGGCUGCCAUCAUCGUCGUCCAUCUCUGAUUUGUCAGAACAGCAAAUCCACCUUCAAAGACCGCAAUAAGGAGCAGAAAAAUCCAACCUUCUCGCGGUUCUGAUCAGCUCAUCUGCGGAAUCAGCAAUCCCUACACACACCCAUUUUGACAAUCAGACCAGACCAUAAGAAGCAGGUCUAAAAAUACAAAAUCGCAGGACAUUGUAACCAACCGCUCGUGGGGAGAGGAGAAGGGCAUGGUCGGAGAUCUCUGGGUGGACCCCACUUAGUUCUGGCGGGUGCGAAGGAAGGGCUGGACCUUCGGCGAACUAGAAGAUAAGGGAGGACGCCGACAAAGGAGAAGACGAGGCAGGGGAUCGUCGGGGGAGGAGAAGGGAGUGGAAUCCGCUCCCAGAUCUCAGACGCACUAGCUUUCGGCGGAGAAGUGGAGGGGCUAGGGGAGAAGUGGAGGGGCGCCGGCGGCCACUGGAGGAGGAGAUGGAGCGUCGGUGCUGGCAGGGGGUGCGGGUGCGAGCGGAGAAGUGCCUGCUCCGGCGGAUCUGGGCGGAGGUCUGCCUCGUCGACUCGGGCUUCGAUUCGCUUGGGAAGGAGAAAUUGGCUGUUUUGCCAGCGCCAAGAGUGGGUUUCGCCCAAAUGCCAUUAAGUUUUUGGGCUUCGCCCGUUUGCCAGCGCCAACCAUCGCUCUCCCGCUGAAAUGCCCUGAGGUCCGAAUUCACUGUUGAGGCCAUAUUUCUUACCCGUUUUACCCUUCUCCCUUUCCUCUUCAACUUUCACGGUCACGGACAGAGAACGGCGUUGACGCAAAAAUAUCCUCGCUCCCGUCCUCGAGCUGGCCCUUCCGUCCUUGGUUCCCGCCGCCGCCGGAGAUCUCCCGCCAGACGCCGCCGCCGCCCGCAGAGCCCGUCAGUCCGCGCUAAGGUGAGCCUGGACCUUCGCAUUGUGUGGAUUGAUUUGUGGAUUUCGUGGGUAAAGUGUUUACCUAGGGUUUGUCUCGGGUUUGACAGGGGUGAGAUGCAGUGACUCUACUUGCUAUGGAUUGCAAUCGGAAUGAUCUAGUGACAGGGUAUGGUGCAUCGUUAUUUUCUCGUUGUGCAUAUCAGAAACAGCAGAGCCAUCUCGUGUAGUGUUCUAACUCUCUAAUCGGUUUUUUUAGGCUCGAUCUGGAGCCUGAGCUUAGUUUAGUGGCUGUAGAUGCUGGCAUACCAGAACAGCAGAGCCAUCUCGUUAACUGGGAUGAACUACAGAUUGAGGAAAGGCUAGAUGAUGAAGGGGAAGGAAGGAUAGAAGUUUUCGAUGAGGAUCAGGUGUAUCGUCUUCUGGGUCUUAGAACCGAUGACGAUCCUGAGCAAAGUGCUGCUGAUGCUACUUCAAAUGCUGAUGAUGCUACUGCAAACAAUGGUGGUACAGUCCCUGAUGUCGAUGCUAGAGGUGCAGGUAUCCCUGAUGUUGAUACUGGAGGUGCAGCUAUCCCUGAUAUUGAUACUAGAGGUGCAGCCAUCCCUGUUGAUGAUGCCAUACCAGAGGAGAGGGUGCUGGUAUACGACCCAAACAAACCAUGCAUGGAUCUUGGCACUGUGUUCCCCAGCAUGGUCGAUUUUAGAUUGGCUGUGAGGCAGUUCGCUAUCAAUAAACAGUUUGGACUACAUACUGCGAAAACUGACAAAGAGAGGUUUAUUGGGACGUGCCUGGGAGAAGUUUGCCCAUGGCGUAUUAAUGCUCGUAAACUGCCUAAUUCAAAAACUGUUAUGGUAUAAUUUCUUUUUUUUUGCUAAAUUUUCUAUUUGCAUUCCUUUUUUUGAGUUCUGGAUUUGUUUUCUAAUUUUUUAUUUUUGCAGAUUACAGCUUUGACUGACGAACAUAACUGCACUUCCAGUGCGAGGAGAUUGACUACUACACCCACUGCUGCCUGGGUUGCUACAAGGGGGAUGAAGCAUCUUAGGAGGGACCCAAGUAUGGGCGCAACUAAACUACGGGAAGUGCUGGAAGAUGAACACAAAUGCACAAUUGGAUAUGACACCGUGGCAGAUGGGAGGAAUAUUGCACUGAAGAAACUGCAUGGCGCUUGGGAGGAUAGCUUCCAAUUGCUGUACAAUUGGAGGGAAGAGGUUCUGAAGCACUCACCAAACAGUGUCAUUGAGAUCGACACCCUGGAGGUUGAUGGCAAGGUAUACUUUUACAGGUUCUUUUGUGCUUUGAGUCCUUGUAUUGAGGGUUUUUUAGAGGGCUGCAGACCUUACCUUAGUAUAGACUCCACUGCAUUGAAUGGUAGGUGGAAUGGACAUUUAGCAUCAGCCACUGCUUUAGAUGGAAAUAAUUGGAUGUACCCUGUUGCAUUUGGCUUCAUAGAUGGUGAGACAAGUGAUAAUUGGGAAUGGUUCAUGACUCAGUUGAAUAAGGCCAUAGGAGACCUUCCUCAGCUUGCAAUAUGCACUGAUGCAUGCAAAGGCCUAGAGACAGCUGUAAAGCAAGUGUUUCCUCAUGCUGAACAUAGAGAGUGUUUUAGGCAUCUUAUGAAGAAUUUCUUUAAGAAGUUUGGGGGUGAUUCUUUUUCUAAGAUGUAUCCUGCAGCUAGAGCAUAUAGAACUGAAGUAUUCCAAUAUUUCUUCAAUCAUGUUAAAGAUGCCAGUGAUGAAGUGUUGCCAUGGCUUGACAAUCAUCAUAAAUUUUUAUGGAUGAGAAGUGCAUUUAACCCUAUAUUCAAGUGUGAUUACAUAACCAACAACCUUGCUGAAUGUUUUAACAAUUGGAUUAAGGACUGGAAGGACCUUCCUGUUUGUGAGCUUGCUGAUAAAAUUAGGGAGAAGUUAAUGGUACUGUGGAGGAAGAGAAGGCAGAUUGGACAAAAGCUUAAUGGGAGGAUUUUACCAACAAUCAUUCGUCAGUUGAAAAUGAAAACCAGAAACUUGGGUCACUUGACAGUUAUCAGCUCUGAUAGUAUUGCUGCAGAGAUAUGGGAAGUGAAUACCAUCCAUAACAGGCAUGUAGUGAGGACUUAUCUCCAUGAGUGCACAUGCAUGGAGUGGCAACACACUGGCAAGCCAUGUCAGCAUGCUUUGGCUUUGAUUACAGCUCAAGAAACUGUGGAUGUGGAUCUUGAGCCAUUUGUCCAUGAGUAUUUUUCAGUUGAAAAUUUCAGAAAUGCAUACAAGAGAUUAAUAGAGCCACUGCCAGAUAAAACUCAGUGGCCACAAGUGCAACUUGCAUCUAGAGUUGAGGGACCAUUGGACAAAAAGGGUGCUGGGAGAUACAGGAAGCUGCGGAUAAAGGGUUGUCUUGAAGGAGGAAGUGGUGGCAAAGGGAAAAAGGCUGCCAAGGAGGCUGCCAAGGAGGCUGAUAAUGCUGCUGCCGAAGAGGAGGCUAUGCAAGCUGGUAAACCUAAGAGGCAAUUAAUACGAGGGCAAAGAACGUGCAAGGGGUGUGGAGAAUUAGGACACACUGCAUCCAGCUACAAAUGUCGGCUAAAUGGGACCAAGAAAAGGUACAUUCUAGUUUCUUUCUAUUAUUAUUUCGUUUUCUAACAAGCUACUAUCCAUUAUUAAUAUGUUGUAACUAACAGGAAGAGGAACCCUAGGACAAAUACUACCAAGUAUGGGAAGAACGGGGAAAGGAAGUCAAGUCAAAAAGCUCCUGUGCAUGCUCCAGUCGAACAAGAAAAUGCUCUUAUGCAGCCUGCUGUGCAUCAAGAAAGUGCUCUAGUGAUUCCAGAAAACACUCCUGUGCAUCAUCCUUUGCAUCAAGAAAGUGCUCUAGUGAUUCCAGAUGUUGCUCCUGUGCAGCCAAACAAUGUCGCUCAAGCUGAAAAUGAUGUGCCAAGUAAACUUGCAGAAAUACUUGGAGGAGGGACAAGUACAUUGCUAAAUCGUUUUUCGCCAAAGAAGCAAGCUAGAACUACACCAAAACCAAGGAAGAAGCCUGCAAAUAUACCAAUUGGGAUGCUAGUGAAGAAGUUGACUCCAAGGAAGCCGAAGACAACCUGAGAUGUCAUUUAUUAUCUGAACCUAUGUAUCAUGUUAUGUUAUCUGAACCUAUGUAUUUUGCUUCUGUUAUCUGGACAACCUGCUCGAUGAACUUGUGUUGCUGUAACUUAAAUGGUACCUAUGUGUUGCGUGAACCUUUAUGAAAUCUAUUAUAUUUAUGGAAUAUUAUUGAGAUCAUGAAAUUGUGCCAAAAUAAGAAGGGACACAUGAUUUCCUGCAAGGAUUUUCUUCAUUGCAAAGUCAUGGUGGCAUUACAUUGAGUCUCCAUUACAACACACGCUUCACUUGAGAAGCAUAUAGGCAACUAAAACACCAAUCACGACACCUACACAUCCCACAAAAGCUACCUUCAGAUUCCACACUUCAGUUACAACACUGUCAAUUCUUUGAUUCAACAGUUUAACUUCAUCUUUCAUCUCAGAGCAACAGCCACGGGCAGAUGGCUCAGCCUCCAGUCCAUGUUCUUGUGCUUCUGACUUAACAUUCUGCACAUCAGGGCGAAUGUAACCACAAGUAGUUGGAUCACCCUGUAAUUCAAAUAUUUCAAUCAGACUAGUAGCAAAACAAACAACAAAUAGUGAGAACAAUGGGGAGAAUCCGUACCCAGAUGUUCUCAGAGCACUUGACAAACCACUUCCCAUACGUAUUCGGCUGAUGGCUCUGGAUUCGGACCAAUGAACCAACAUGGCAUUUGGGGCACUUACCACUGCAGCUUGAGCCAGCAGAGGUUGACUUCAUCGGAGAUCCCAUGGCGACGAGCGGACGGGGCUAGGGCUGCAGCAGCCGACUGGGCGCGGUGGCGUAGGCUAGCGCGGACGGGGUCGUCAGCGCCGGCGGUUGGCGCGGACGGGGGCGGCGGAGGAGGCUAGCGCGGACGGCGGCCGUCGGGGUCGUCGGCGGCGGCGGCGCACGGACGGGCCGGCUCGAUGCGUGGCGAGGAGCAAGCAAGUGGAUUUGGUCCGUUCUCUGUCCGUGACCGUGAAAGUUGAAGAGGAAAGGGAGAAGGGUAAAACGGGUAAGAAAUAUGGCCUCAACAGUGAAUUCGGACCUCAGGGCAUUUCAGCGGGAGAGCGAUGGUUGGCGCUGGCAAACGGGCGAAGCCCAAAAACUUAAUGGCAUUUGGGCGAAACCCACUCUUGGCGCUGGCAAAACAGCCAAUUUCUCCUUGGGAAGAGAGGCUUCGACUCGAACCAAGGGAAACAAUAAAAGCCGUAGGCAUGCAGCCUUUUCUUGUAGGCCUCAGCCUCUAAAACGACGUUUUCUUUGGAACAACGCCCAAACGCUAGGACGACAUUUUUAUUGGGACGGAGGGAGUAUAUUUGUAAUGGAUAGGUCAGAUCUAGAUAUAAACUGCUUCAGUUAGAGUUUGGGGAUGCUCGGUUCAGCACAGAAGGGAGGGAAUGGGCAAGCGAAGGGGCGGUCUCACCUGGUGAUGUUCGUCGCCGGCGAAGGACCCGACGAACAAGGUCAGCGCCGCUCACCCAGUCGUCGACGAAGGGGGGGUUUGGGGGUGGUCAGAGCACGGGAUGCGAACGGGAUCCUCUGCUAUGUGCUACGCCGCCGUGCCGUCGUUGGACCUCCCUAUCCGCCGCCCGGUCACCGCCGAAUGCCCACUUCUCUGAGCAAUUCCGCAUCGUAUUCGUAUAGCUAGCUAGCCUUCCUUAGCUGCUCACACGCAGCCACGCAGGGCCCAGUGCACACCUACGUACUAGGUGCCACAACGACGGCCCAAUAAGUCGCCAAAAAAAAUUGGGUUUUUUUAUCUAAGCCAUUACAAUUCUUCGAAGUUGGAGAAAUGCCAUUACAAUUCGGGUAUUUCAAAACAUGCCAUUACAAUUCUCAAUCUCCCUGAUGAUUGCCAUUUUCUACCUAGACAAGCUGACUAGGCCCACUGUCAGGCCGAGAUACGCAUACACAACUAGCGUAUGGACACCGAUGCCCCUGCCUUCCUGCGUUUAGAAGCCGCCGCGGCUCGGUCUUCUUCUACGACAUUCCCCAUCCGUCUCCUCUCAUCUUCCUCUUCUUCUGUUCCCUCUGAACCCUAACCCUAGACUGUAGCCGCCGUCGAAGACCUGCGGAGCUCCGACGCGAGACCUGCGGAGGUGGAACGGUGGUGGGGAGCGGCUGGUGGUGUCGUGUCUGUGGCCGGCGCAUCCACUGGAUGAGAUGCGGGAUCCAUGAAGACGAUGGGCGGGGUCUUCCUGCUGCGCCAUAGUGCUGCGAUGGAGAUGGAGGACUGCAACAGCAGGUAAUGUGUGUGCAUCCCCUGUUAUCAAUUUGAGCAUGUAGUGUAGUUGACUUGUGCUUACCAAUUUACACUUCGAUUUGGGACUCGAUUUGAUUGUUGAUAGGAAUGGUAUGUUCGCGGUAGAGGUUAAAGUCCACGGAUUCGCUACGAAAGACUCAGAUGGUAGGAAAUCAUAUACUAAAGGCACCAUGAUUAAGUGAGAUGUGGAGUUUGGGUCUGUAACGCUUGAACUGUUGCUGUCAAGUAUUGCAAAUGAAUUGAAUGUGCCUUCUAACCAGUUACCCACAGUGUGGUUCUUUGAUAAAAGACUGCACGAGGAUAUUUGUUGCCUUGAAGCCAUGCAUUGAUGGGUUCUUGGCUGGUUGCAGACCAUUUAUUGGUUUAGAUGCUUCUAGUCUGAAUGGAAAGUACCUUGGCAGUUGGCUUCAGCUACUGGGGUUGAUGGACAUAAUUGGUUGUACCAUAUUGCAUAUGGUGUUUUUGACACAGAGACUGAAGAUAACUGGAAGUGGUUCAUCCAGAAUUUGCACAGAGCAGUGGGGGACCCUCCAGGAUUAGUGAUAUGUUCAGAUGCUUGUAAAGGACUUGAAAAGGCUGUGGGGGCUGUCUUCCCACAGGUUGAAAACAGAGAGUGCAUGAGGCACUUGUACCAAACCUUCAUGAAGCACUACUCAGGUGAUGUGUUCACUGACCGGGCAGGCCUAAAGUGGUAAGGAUAAGAGGUUGCAUGGAGAAAAACAGUUCAAAGAAAAAAGUGAAAUGUCACAGGUGUGGAGGUUUCGGACACUUUGCCAAGACAUGCAAGGAACCUGAGUUGGGACCAAAUGGUGAGACUGCCGCUGCACCAAAUAAAAGGUAUGAUUUUUUUUCUCAAUUUGCAUCUGUUAACUACAUAUAAGUGUCAAAACAAAUUAAUCUUGAACUAAUGUUGCAGGAAGAGGCCACCAGAAGAAGAAGCUGGACCAUCCCAAGUAAAAAAGAAGAAGACAACCACUAAGAAAAAGACACCUAAGAAGAAAAAGACACCAGUGAAGAAGAAAUUGAUGAAAAAUGCAGCAGCUCCACCAGCACGGGUUAUUAGAAGCAUGUUUGAUAUGAUAAAUGAUGGGUAGUAAUCAAGCUUAUUUUUGUGUGUAAUGGAAAAUGGCCUUUAUGGCCGGUGAACUUGAACGAAAAUGUAGCAGCUCCAUCUGCAGCUUAUUUUGUGAAUUAGGAUAUAUUUUGUGACUCUUCUGUAAUGGCCUAAAUGGCAACUUGCUUGUGUGAAUGGCCUAUAUGGCCUUUGAACCAGCACCUCUGUAAUGGCCUAAAUGGCAUUUGAACCUGCGGUUUCUGAACUGUGUCAAUGCAGCUGCAGAUUUGGUCUUAUUUUUGUGUCCUAGAACAAUUCUGGGAACAUUCUUCUUGCCUAUAUAUAUGAUACAUGUGUUCUGGGAACAUACAGGCACACACGCACAUUGCUCCAUAAAAGAACAAUUCUUGGAACAAUUCUAUUAUAUUUCAGAUUGCCUAUAUAGCAUUGCAUAAUUCUGGUAACAUUCAGUCAUCCAAUCAGAACCAUACAUUCAUUCAAUUCAAUUCUGGGAACAUUCAGGACACACAAAACAUUACUUCCUAAAAUAACUUGGUACAGUCUAAUCACUUCCAGAUACCAGCAACAACCACACCAAUCAUCACACCUAUAAAACCUACAAAUACAGCUGCUAGAACAGAAACCCCUGGUCGCUGGUUUCUUGCUCCGGAUGUGGACCAAAGCAACAUGGCAAAAGGGGCACUCCCUUCUACCGCUAGCCGUCGAGCUCGAGGCACUGGAAGUUGCCUUCAUGGGGCCGCGACUCCACUUCCCGGCCAUGGCUUCAGAGUUGGACGCCGCCAUCGAACUGAGCCUCCAGAGCACUAGAAGCAGUAGACCUCAGGCCACCGUGCUAGGCUGCUCCAUCGUGGGCUGUGAUGUCGGCUCAAGAGGGGAAUCAACGCUGGAUGGAUUCUAGGGAUUGGGUUCGUGGAGAAGGGGAACAGAGAAGGAGGAACACGGUGAGGAACGGAGUCGUACGGGAGAAGAAGACCGAGCCGCGACUGCUUCUAUCGUGGGUAGGCAGGGGCAUCGGUGUCCAUAGGCUGGUUGCGUAUGCGUAUCCCAGGCCCAGACAGCUUGUCUACAUAGAAAAUGGCAAUCAUCAGGAAGAUUGAGAAUUGUAAUGGCAUGUUUUGAAAUACCCGAAUUGUAAUGACAUUUCUCCAACUUCGAAGAAUUGUAAUGGCUCAGAUAAAAAAAACCCAAAAAAAUUACGGCCCAAUAAGUCGGACGACGACUGCGAUGGACACGAAGGCGACGAGCUCGGUGGUGACUGAUGAGGUGCGGGUUGGGGAACGCGGUGAGGUACUCGGCGUCGGCAGAGGAGUCUGGGAGCAGGAGGAGGAGGAGGUUGAGGAGGCGCGGAGAACUAGAACCGCGAGGAGCAGGUCACGGAGGAUGAACGUGCCCCACGGGAGGAGGAAUGGAGGAUCGGGAUCCUAAGCGCGACGAGAGCCACGGCGGCGACGCCCGGCCCUGAACCUGAAGGCGCGGCGCCCAAGUUGUCGACGAAGGCCGCGGCGAGCAGUGCAUCCAUGUGGUGCGCGGAUGGCUGGGCGUAUGCCACGAGGUGUAUCACGUUAGUUUCCACCGCAGUGGCGCAGGAGAAGGGGAGCGGCGGUGAUGUGCAGUUGCUGAAUGCGGCACCCUCCAUAUAUUCGAUGAAAUGGCAAUAACAAUGACUAAGGGUUAACAUUACCAUGUUCUGAGGGCAGCGACGGAACCAAUUUUUGUUAGUAUGAUAAAAUAUAUAUAAUUAUAUGUUUGAUAAACUUUUAAAAAAGUAUUACACUAUUUUUUACCAAAAUUAUCAUAUUUGAAUAAAAAAUAUGUGAAAUUGAUAUUUAUUAUACUAUAAAUAUUAGUAUUUAUAUAGGUAUUUAAGGAAAGAUUAGGCUUUGGGAGGGGCACUGCCUGGUUACGCCACUGGUUCUAAGCCAGGGUCAUCAUACUCUUCUAUACAGAUAAACAAACACGUUCUUAGCCGAACACGAUUCUGCAUAAAUAUGAAAUCAAACACACACACACUUCUUCCAUUUGGAUCGGGCCCUGGCUGACCAGCCAGCCAAUUCGGAGAAAUCGAGUCAACCCACUUAUGGUGGCUGCGCGGAGGAGCGGCACCAAGGGCCUCGUGGAUGUGGAGGGAGCUGUUCGGUCGGUCCAUAGAGCAGCGGGAGGUGGCGGGCGGGCGUGCGAGCCAAGGCCACACCUACCGAGCACGGGCGGAGCUGUGAAGCCGCGGUGCGGCGCAUAUGCAGGCAAGGGGUGAGGCGAGUCGCGUGAGGUGGGGCUAGGUGGCAACAUGGUGACGAUGGGUGCCUAGUGAGAGACGUAGGGCGUGUUUGUGAAGGUGGCUCCGCCUAGCACGGCUACCUGGCAUGACCCUAGCCAGUCCGAGCAUGGCUCAUAUGGUGCAACAACACGUGUUUGUAUCACUGGUUCAGACAAGCCCGACUUAAGUGAGAUCGUGUUUGGUUCGUGUCUCAAGUGGCUACGGUUACUUCGGACUAGAAAUUUGGUAGACUUACCACCACAAUUUUAUUUAGAAACAAAUUUGUGUAAUUAUUAAUUAAAUUAAUAAUAUUAAUUUGAUAAACAUGUGACAUGGUAAACAUUGUUGGGAACACAUAUUUCACGCGGACACGGUCGCUAUGCAACAAGAACCGAACUACAACUCUAGGUGGCUUUUAAUUAUAAAUUUAUUAAAUAAAUAUUAAACAAAUUAUAUUUAAAUCAAUAAAUGUAUAAACGAGUCAUAUAAUAAAUAUUUGCACUGCUGCGUAGAACACGACGACACAAAUCUAACGCAACUGGAACGAUUCGAAUCGGAAUUAGGAUGGUUAAAUGAUGAAUAAUUAAAGGACAAUGGCAAACUUGUAAAUACCAUCAUCUUCAACCUUGGGUCCUGUUCGUGAACGCAGUGGCCAAUUAGAAGAUCGGAAGCAGCAGCUGCUGGGCACCGGGAAGGGAGGGCUCGGCCGAGACUUGGCCAGGCCGGCGGCGCAGCGGCAUGUGGCCAGAUGACCCACGCGCUGGGUCGGGGCAAGGGCCCGCACGACGACCUGCACGGGCCACACAGAGCCGGCCAUGCGGCCGUGAGCGGCGCCGGCGGCUGUUUGCGCAGCACGCAAGGGAGGCACGCACAGCGCGGGGCUCGACGUGGUGGUGUGGUUAGGGUCGGGGAGCGGCGCUAGGCCCGAGGCGAGGAGGGCCGCGGCCAUGGCCGGAGAUAGCCUGGAACAGAGAAAAUCAUAGUAAAGUUCGUCGGAGAAGAGAGAAGGGGAAGGGAACUGGCCAAACCGACAUGGAUUUACAAAACGAAUGGCGUGCCGGUGUAGAGGAUGAUGAGACGAACCUCGCAGCGGUGACAGUUUUCGCAGAGGUCGCCGGAGUUGACCGGAAAAGCUCGCCGAACUUUCACCGGAAAAGUUCGCCGGAAACGAGAUCUAAAACUUCGGCGACCGAUCUACGGGGCUACGAGUGGCGGCUCGCAAAAGCGGUCGUACUUCUGAACUCAGCGCGUCGAGGGCUACGCCGUCAUAUAUAUAGGUCUAGGGUUUGGAGACUUUUCGAAAUUUCUUAAUUUCGAGAUUUUAUAAAAAUCAUUUUCAGUUUAAAAAUAAUUCUAGAAAAGUUGAAAUCAUUUUAAAUCCCUAAAAAAUAUUUUUAAAAUUCUAAAAAUGAAAAGAAAACUUUUGGAGGUAUUUUGAGAGUUGAUCAAUCCAAAUAAAGUUUUUGGUGUCUAUGAAAAAGAAUUUUAGAGCAUUCAAAAAUUAGAUUUUUGCUUUAGGAAAAAGGGAAAAAGUCUCGAAAAGGCUCGAAAAAUUCUCGGGAAGGAUUGGAUGACGUCAACGUGUUUUUAAAAUCUUAGCACACAAAAAAAACUCAAGCAAUAGACAAGCAUCACAUCAACAAAAGUCUGUCUAAUUAAUUCCAAAACAUUUGAAAAACACCAUUUUUCUUCGAUAAAAAUAUAUGGAAAUCUAAACUAUUGUUGGCAAAUUUUAUCCACAUAUUAAAACCAUUCAUUUUAUUUAGUGUUUUUAAAUAACAACCCAAAAUAAGAAUUUUGGGGUGUUAUAGAUCUACCCCACUUAACAUAAAUCUCGUCCCGAGAUUUGAAGAGGCUAGAGAGAUAGUCAAAGCAGAUCAUCAAGAUUGUAUUGAGACUUUUGACAAGAUAUGAUUUAGGAAUUAGUGAUUAAAAAAAUGGCAAAGAAGUCAAAGAUCGAUUCUCAAGAUUGUUUUAGAGUUUAUGGCAUGAGGUUAAAGGAUUGAAGAUCCGCAUAGGUUGAAAAGCAAGAUAAAAGGAGGUUGAAAAGAUAGAUAAAGGUUGAUCACUAGGUUUCCACAUUAUAAGGUGUAAAGAUAAGGAGUGAAGGUUAGCAAUCGAUAAUAUAAAAGAUAAAUCUUAUAGUGCUCACAAUCUCGUUGAUUCAAGAUUUAGGAGAUAUAUGAUGAAAAUAUUAGGAAUUGUCAAAGAUUAAGAAGGAAGACAAAGAUUGAAUUUAUAGUCUUCACGCUUCAUUGAUUCCAAGACUAUGAGAUGUAAGAUCAAAGACUAAAGGUUGGCACACAACGAUCAAAAAGAUUAAGAUUGAUGACAAAAAGGAUUGACAAGAUAGAUGAAGACUUAUCUUUAGGUCUUUAUAUUAAUGGGGAUACAAUCGAGGGCAAACAAAGAUGACAAGAAGAUGGAGUUCUGUGACAAAAGGAUAAAGUUUGAUACACAAGAAAGAUAAGCAAGAGAUAGUCUUCAAACUUCAAACUCAUUUUGUUCAAGAUAUCAAGAGUGGUAGAGGAUCCACCCCACUUAACAGGAAUUUUAUUCCACUUGGAAAUUGUUGUUGAAGUGAGUACUUUCUCUAGGGCUUGCUGCUAUUGGGGCAUCCUUUAUGUGUUGAUUCCUCCAUUAGGUUGUGAUAAAGAAGAAGGCAUUAAAAACUAGAGUAGGUAGGGAUGGUGUAAUAUAAAGGAUGAUAAGGACCGAGAUUGAUAAAAAAAUAGGCCAGAUAAGAGAGAACACCACCCCACUUAACAGAGAUCGAGCUAAUCCUCAAACGGUUUCUAAAAAACCUCCUUGAAAACACUAGAACAGAGACGACACACAAAACACAAUUCAAGCAAGACAAGCACACAUCACAUCACGAUACUACACGUACUUCUUCAACAGUGGUGGUCAUCCUAAAAGGUAAGUCCGAUAUGAUGAAGGGCCAUCGAAUUUAGAAAUAAAGCAUGUUUUGAAAUCUUAAGUGAAACAACUAAACAAAAGCCAAGGAGAUAAAUAGAAAUAGCUCAAAGGUAGCUAUUCAAGGAGGGGAUACAUGACAAGGAUGAGAAAAUAGUCAGAGUCAAAGAGUCAAGGGAUGACAAAAUAGUUUUAUAUCAAAAUAAGCUUUAGAAAUCGACCAGUGCUAUCUAGGCAUACGUCCUACAGUCAACAUUGCUCUGAUACCAUUCCUGUCACACCCUGGCUUUUAAAAUAAGACCAGAGUCGUCAUAUGUGUGCCCAGGAAGUCCACACAUACAACAAAUAAUAGAAAUAUCAGAAACAAUGUUAUAUAUAGCAGAAAACAUAUUUAUAUUAACACUUACAAACAUCAGAGUACGCGGAAAGAGUAGCUAAACUUCGUAGGCUCUUUUCUUCUCAGGGACGGUUGACUCGGGGCUCCGUACGCCAAGCACUUCUGAUAAGCUUCUAGAAAACUCCAUAGCAUCUAUGUCCUUCUUCUGAGCAGCACUUUACUACACACUGGGGUGUGGGGAAAAUAGCAAGGGUGAGUUCAUGUCAAACUCAGCAAGUACAGACGGAAAGUAUAAUGACAUGCAAGGCUUAAUCAAAGGAAAAGUUGACACUGUUUAACUGCAGGUGAGCUUUUAAGUUGGUACACUUUUAUUACUAUUCUUUUAUUAAACAACCUAUUACUAGUGGUGAGUAGAAUAUCCCAACCCUUAAUUAGAUGGAAGUAUAUUAACCAUUUUAGUAAUCAUCAUCAUUAUUAUUAUUAUUAUUACCGAGGUAGCAACCUCAGAUAGUAACUCAGGGUAGCAACCCCAAUAAGGUCAUGGGAUAGCAAUCCCGAUUAAGAACACAGGAUAGCAAUCCUGCCAACACGGAAUAACCAUUCCGCCAAAGCACGAGUUAGCAACCUCAACCAAGUUUCGCCUCCAAGUUCCAUGUGAUUCCAAUUUGCUCAUCAUGUGAGGGUCUGGGCCGCUCGUGACCAUGAGCACGGCUGAUAUAUCAGUUUUACACUCUGCAGAGGUGUGCACGUUCACUCCAAGUCGUGAUUCCUAUUUGUCCGGGGUCAUGACUCCCCAAAACACUGCCAAGGUGAGCAGGCAGGGUGUCACUACGAGACCUUUCACAGGGUCCAACUAAUAGGAUGCCACUCGCAAGUUUUUACCGAGGCGCGCGGCAGCCGUGCCCAUAGCAAUGGGACCCCGAACUGACCGACCUCUUAAUAUAAAUACCCAAGCUACUUCCUUACGCCUACCCGGAAAGUAACACCCUACCAGUGGAGGUCCUGAUAAUUAGUCAAGCCAGAGCCAUAUAGCUUGGAGCUGCACUGUAUGUCCCAGGGGGCCGCUCCACGACUAAGUCCUUACGGAGGGCAGAGACGGGUACGCCCGGCAACCGGGCCAACCAACAAUACCCGCUCCCCCUUUCCUCAACAAACCACGAUGCUCACAAGCACCGCAACAUCUCCGUCACCAAAGUGACCAUUGUUCAUCAUUUAAACAUUAAUCAUCAUUGAAGAAUUCAUUAGGCAAGAUUAUUACUUUUAUUAUCAUAUAGAUUAGAUGAGUAGAGCAGCUAAGCAUAACUACUGUUCACUAUUCUACCAUGUAUAAAACCCAGGAGUACAAGGAAUAUAGUAGAAGACUAGUCAGGUCCUUAGGGUUUGCAGUAUUAAGACACAUGCAAAGAAAGUAAAUGUAUUUAAAGUUCAUAGGUACAAAUAUGAUCAAAGGGUGUCUGCACUUGCCUUAAUUUUCAGUGUAUAACUGCUCAGAAUUCUUUGGCUUCUAUCUUCUGAUCUCCAACUUCUGCUUCGACUAUCGGUCCUUAGCUCCUGAUCUUCACCGUUGACGAACCACGCUUCUUCUACUCGUAGCAACCAAGCAACACAAACAGACAAACAACAAUCACGACUAAGAACAAGCAUCAAUCAAAAGAAAAGUUUUGAAAAGAAGAGCGCAAUAAAGGACACGACCUAUUGCUAUGAUCGUGACCACACAAGAACGAUUGAGAACGAAGCUAUUCGUUAAAUGAACACGGCUUUCGAGGUUCGAAGUGCAACGAAGAAGAUCAACUAUUCGCUUGAUCUAUUUUAUUUGAUGAAAAGAGGUGAUAGACUUUUAAGAGAAAAAUCAUAAAGUGAAAUUAAACAAACUAUAAUUAUAAAAGACAAAGUAUAGUUCUAGUCGUAUUCUAUUUAUAAAUAGUUAUAGAAAUUGUUUAGACUAUUUUAGCAUUCAUAGCUUAGAGAAUAUAAAACGAGUGAGAGCAACUUAAUUAGAAUCACUAUUUAUUUUCAAAGUUAAUCUAAGCAAGUCAUAAUUGAAAAAUCAUUUAGGUUGAUAUUAAUUAUAUUAACAUUCUUUAUUUAAAGACUAAACUAUAUAACUAAGUUGCUUUUAAUCCAAAAGGCAUUAGUUAGAUAUUAACUAAAUUAAUUACAUGUUUCAUAUUUCACUAAACCAAUUAUAAUUAAGAAACAUUUAAGUUAAUAUUAAUCAAGCUAACAAUUAUUUACAGAAGGCCAAGAUUAUAGACCUAAGUUGCUUUUAAUAAAAAAGAAAGGCAUUGCAUAAGUAUUAACUAAAUUGCAUCUAGACCGACUUCAUAUAAAUCAUGCUUAAACUAGUAAAAUUAUAAUUAAUAAAUACAUAUUUAAGUUGACAAGCAGUUAUUAAAAAAUGAUAUUAUCCUAUAUUAUUUUUAUUUAGAAACAAAUUUGUGUAAUUAUUAAUUAAAUUAAUAAUAUUAAUUUGAUAAACAUGUGACAUGGUAAACAUUGUUGGGAACACAUAUUUCACGCGGACACGGUCGCUAUGCAACAAGAACCGAACUACAACCCUAGGUGGCUUUUAAUUAUAAAGUUAUUAAAUAAAUAUUAAACAAAUUAUAUUUAAAUCAAUAAAUGUAUAAACGAGUCAUAUAAUAAAUAUUUGCACUGCUGCGUAGAACACGACGACACAAAUCUAACGCAACUGGAACGAUUCGAAUCGGAAUUAGGAUGAUUAAAUGAUGAAUAAUUAAAGGACAAUGGCAAACUUGUAAAUACCAUCAUCUUCAACCUUGGGUCCUGUUCGUGAACGCAGUGGCCAAUUAGAAGAUCGGAAGCAGUAGCUGCUGGGCACCGGGAAGGGAGGGCUCGGCCGAGACUUGGCCAUGCCGGCGGCGCAGCGGCAUGCGGCCGGAUGACCCACGCGUUGGGUCGGGGCAAGGGCCCGCACGACGACCUGCACGGGCCACACAGAGCCGGCCAUGCGGCCGUGAGCGGCGCCGGCGGCUGUUUGCGCAGCACGCAAGGGAGGCACGCACAGCGCGGGGCUCGACGUGGUGGUGUGGUUAGGGUCGGGGAGCGGCGCUAGGCCCGAGGCGAGGAGGGCCGCGGCCAUGGCCGGAGAUAGCCUGGAACAGAGAAAAUCAUAGUAAAGUUCGUCGGAGAAGAGAGAAGGGGAAGGGAACUAGCCAAACCGACAUGAAUUUACAAAACGAAUGGCGUGCCGGCGUAGAGGAUGACGAGACGAACCUCGCAGCGGUGACAGUUUUCGCAGAGGUCGCCGGAGUUGACCGGAAAAGCUCGCCGAACUUUCACCGGAAAAGUUCGCCGGAAACGAGAUCUAAAACUUCGGCGACCGAUCUACGGCGCUACGAGUGGCGGCUCGCAAAAGCAGUCAUAGUUCUGAACUCAGCGCGUCGAGGGCUACGCCGGCAUAUAUAUAUAGGUCUAGGGUUUGGAGACUUUUCGAAAUUUCUUAAUUUCGAGAUUUUAUAAAAAUCAUUUUCAGUUUAAAAAUAAUUCCAGAAAAAGCUGAAAUCAUUUUAAAUCCCUAAAAAAUAUUUUUAAAAUUCUAAAAAUGAAAAGAAAACUUUUGGAGAUAUUUUGAGAGUUGAUCAAUCCAAAUAAAGUUUUUGGUGUCUAUGAAAAAGAAUUUUAGAGCAUCCAAAAAUUAGAUUUUUGCUUUAGGAAAAAGGAAAAAAGUCUCGAAAAGGUCCGAAAAAUUCUCGGGAAGGAUCGGACGACGUCUAAACGUGUUUUUAAAAUCUUAGCACACAAAAAAAACUCAAGCAAUAGACAAGCAUCACAUCAACAAAAGUCUGUCUAAUUAAUUCCAAAACAUUUGAAAAACACCAUUUUUCUUCGAUAAAAAUAUAUGGAAAUCUAAACUAUCGUUGGCAAAUUUUAUCCACAUAUUAAAACCAUUCAUUUUAUUUAGUGUUUUCAAAUAACAACCCAAAAUAAGAAUUUUGGGGUGUUAUAACAGAUUCAGCUCUAGUGCUCUACAACUAGUGGCGGAUCUAGUAUCACUAAUUUAGGGUAGAAGAGGGGGGGACUUCUCUUUCUCCUCAUCUUCCUCCAUUUUUUUCUCUUCUUCAUCCAUGCAUAAAAUUGUUGGGGGCUCCAUUUUACGAGCAGGGGUAGGGGGGCUCAAGCUCCCCCAAUAUACACACUGCAUCCGCCCCUGCUACAACCUACAAAGUGACAAACAUAGCAUGCCUUUUUCUUUACCUGAUUGUUACAAACUUAUUUGUGCGAUGCUUAGCCCAAAAAGUCUUCAAGUCAAUUGGAUUAGCAAGGUUGUACCCUUCACCAGCCAGCUUCUCAAGCACCUUUUUGAAUGCACCUUGGCUCAUUUUCCUUCCAGAAAUACGUGCGCCCCGACGCUUUGUGUUCAUUGGCAGUGGAUACGUUGAUAUAGAAGUUGUGCAACAUGCAGACUGCCAGCCACCUGCACCCCACCGGUAGCAUUGCUGGGGAGCUCCCGUGCAAGAGCAAACUAGUGUUGGUAUGUUGGCAAGGUCCAGCUCAAUACCAUUAAUCACCAUCCCCACAGUCUUCUUAGAUCCCCUCCUUUAGAGUGCAUGCCCAUAGGGUGCUCCAUCCUCCAGUGGAACAGCAGCCUUCUUAGGCUUCUUAGGCUUUGGUGACUUAGGCUGUUGAUUCUACUGUCGAACCCACUGCCUCUUUUUCACAGGUGGCUCGGUAGUAACUGCACGAUGAUCCUCAAUUAGUGGAGGUGGCGCUUCCUCUUCCUUGCAUGGAGGAGGCUCCUGAAGCUAUUGUGACUCAAGUGAUGGUUGCAUCAUCUGGAGAGUAUGCUGUGCAUCUGAUAUCAUCCCAUAGCUAGUAGGAUGGUAAUGCACAAUAUGUCCACCAUGGCCUGGAUGCCCAACAUGCCCAGCUGGUCCAAUAGGGCGAGAAUGAAGGACCUUCUGCUCAGGAGGACGUUGGUGGUGCAACUGGUGCAGCCAAGCUUCAUUGCGUGAGAAGUCCAUGUGAAUAGGUUGCGACUUGGCAGGCAUGCCAAUAGAGGCCCGACCACCAACGGGGCCACGGAAUGUUGCGAGUGCUGCUGCAUGUGGAGCUGGUGCGGGGCAUUGUGGUGUCCGUGGUGCUGCAAGAAGGCACCGUUGGGGAGCAGUGACUUUGUGUCCCGGUCAGGUGGCACGGACGACAUGACCUGCAGGCCGAGGUUGCCUUUGACAGUGUCGUAGAAGCCCCAAUUCCGAGUGCCUAGGCUGCCGUCGUCGUCGUCCAUCUCUGAUUCAAAUCCCACCUCCGAAGACCGCAACGAGGAGAAGAAAACCGAACCUCCUCGCAGUUCUGAUUAGCCCAUCUCAUCCCCUCCAAUCGGUAAUCCCUGCACACCCAUUUUGGCAAUCAGACCAGGUCUAGAAGUACAAAAUUGCAGAAGACAUUGUAAUCGAACUAUAGAUACCAAAUCGAAGCCAGUAGGCCUAGUUGCUAAAAUGCUCAGGUUAGAUCCGGAUACAAAUUGCUUCAGGUAGGGUUUGGGUGGGUGCUCGGUUCAGCAGAGCAGGAAGGGAUGGGCAAACAAAGGGGUGGUCCCACCUGUUGGAUGAUCGUCACCGCCGACGAAGGAGCUCGACGAACAAGGUCGGCGCCGCUCGCCCAGUCGUCGGCGAAUGGAGGUUGGGGGUGGUCAUGGUCAGAGUCAGACUCAGGGCACGAGAUACGAAUGGAUCGGAUCCUCCGCUACGCCGCCUGGGCACCGCCGAACCUCUGCUCAGGUUCUCAUCACACGCAGCAUCCCAUGGCCCACCUAGGUAGGUGGUAGAACUAUGGCCUAAUAAAACCCCUCCAGCUAGUUCCCUCCGCUAGGCCUAGGGCCCACACCCCUCUCUUGUAGGCAAGUGCCCACAAGCACGGCCCACUAGAACCCUUCCCUAUAUGCUUUCGGGCCCAACAAUCCCGUCCGUCCAAAUCAUUCCUUAUCCUUCUUCCCUGCCAGCUGGCACUGCUUGGCUGCUAGCCACGCGCUUCUCCUUUUCGCCUUCCAGUUCCAGGCCAACACUAGCAGCAUCGCCUUCGCCUCCUCCAGCCUACUACUAGGGCUCGAGGUCCAUUGCCGUUUCCGAUCGAUCACCCAUGGUGUCAGUUCUCACUCCCUCAGCAAAGCUGCCGCUGCUUCACCAUCACCACCCUGCAAAAUGAGGUAACAGCUGGCCGUAUUCCUCAUGCUCUGUAUGUCACUGUGUUGCUGCUGCUGAUCCAAUCCCUCAGAGUUGGAGGCUUGUAAUGUUGUACGUUUUUCAGGAUUAUUGGGGUUCUGGAGGGAUCGAAGCCGUGCUGUUACAUCAAGGGGGAGAAUCACCAUGCUCAGCCAGGAGAAUCCCGGCGGCAAUGGCGACGGCACGCCUUUGUACCUUGGGAUAGACUUCGGAACUUCUGGAGCAAGAUAUGCUCUCAUCGACAAGGAAGGAGCCAUCCAUUCAGAAGGGAAACGAGCUUAUAGUGUUCCUGUAAGAGCGUCCACUUUCCAUUCCUGACGACGAGCCAGCGAGCGCAUGCUUUGAUCGGAGUUGCUAUAUAGACAGGUCGGCAACGCUGCCACCAUGGACUGGGCGAGCUCCUGGCGAGCGGCGCUCUUCUAGCUCCUCGCCGACAUCCCGCCCGUCCAUCUCCUCCAUCUCCAUAGACGGCACCUCGGCCACCACGCUCAUCGUCGACAGGUGAAUGAGUAUCAACUUCUCGGACACGGCUGAAACCGGCAAAUCUGUGUGUGUCUGAUGACUUAACUGCUCGCGAUGCCGCCGCAGCGACACUGGGGAGCUUCUCACCGGCCCGUUCCUCUACAACGAGAGCUUCUCGGACCCGCUGCCCGCCGUGGAGUCGAUCGCGUCCGCGAACCACACCGUGUGCUCCACCUCCAUGCUCUGCAAGCUCGUGUCGUGGUGGACCUCGACCACGACCGGCAGCAGUCGUCCGGCGGCGGUGCUGAUGCACCAGUCCGACUGGCUCCUCUGGCUCUUGCAUGGCCAGUUUAGCGUCUCCGACUACAACAACACCCUCAAGGUGGGCUAUGAUCCGGAGCUCCACCCCUACCCGAGCUGGCUAACGUCGCAGCCAUAUUCUCGCAUGCUGCCUGCUUCCAUCAGAGCUGUAAGUUAAGGAUCGACAAUCAAACGUUGUAUGGUGGAUUGGAAUGGCAAGAACACGAAGAACAGACAAGGGUUUUAGGCAGAACGCCACCAGGCGACAGGGUGACACUGCCCCUUUUCAGCUUAUGAGAAAUGAGAUUACAAAAUGCCUAACCGGCAUUACAACGCACACCACAACUUCCCUUACACCAGGGUUUUAUGGAGAACCAACUAACUUCUCGAAAUAGGCUAAACCUGAUCCUAAAGACCUGCUCAAAAUGGACCAAAAACACACGGUUCAGAAACAUAGGACGCCGUGGACGCGCUCACCACAGAUCCACUUCUCCAGCUUCAACUUGUCCCAUUCAAACUGAACUUUUGCGCCAUCCUUUGUCAUCCCAACCGUGGCAGUUGAUGUCUUUAUUGUUGUGACUGGAUUAAACACCAACACACUCCCCCCUAAGACAGGCACACACUAAGAUCCCAGACUCCAAUCAAAUGACUCAUAACUGCUAACUUCAUAGCUGUCAUCGACUUUGUCAGAACAUCAGCUCUCUGUUCAUCAGUGCACACUCUCUUUGCCACAAUCUGCCCCCUCUCAAUGCACUCUCUGAUGAAGUGGUACUUCAGAUCAAUGUGUUUACUCCUUCCAUGAAACAUAGGUUUUUUCAUAAGAGCUAUUGCAGAAUUGCUGUCAAUGUAGAGAGUAACUGUCUUGGGUUUUUCUUUAGUGAUCUCACUGACUAAGUUCCUUAGCCAUAAAGCCUGUUUAGCUACAGAUGUUGCAGCUACAAACUCUGCCUCACAAGAAUACAGUGUGACUAUCUUCUGUUUCUGUGAAGUCCAAGUGAUCAGGUUCUCAUUCAGAUAGAAUGCCAUUCCUCCAGUGCUCCUUCUCUCCACUGCAUCUCCACCCUGAUCACUGUCAGUGUACCCUUCAAGCUUGUCUGCACUUCCACCUUGAACAUACACCAGUCCAAGAUUAACUGUGCCCUUCAAGUAUCUCAAAAUUUGCUUUACUGUCUUGGCAUGCAUCACAGUGGGCUUCUCCAUGAAUCUGCUAGCAACUCCCACAGAGUAAGAGAGAUCUGGCCUGCUAUGCAACAACUACCUCAGACAUCCAAUAAUUUUCCUGUAUUCAGUUGCAUCUACCUGUUGUCCUCCCUUAUCUGCAUUCAAGUUGCAACCAGGCUCCAUUAGAACUUUGGUAGAGUUACACCCACUCAUCCCAAACUGCUCCAAAACCUUCCUAGCAUAUCCACUGUGCUUCACUGUUAUGUAGUCUUCCCUUUGGUCAACCUCAAUGCCAAGAUAAUAAUUCAGCAGACCUAAGUCUGUCAUUUCAAACUCUGACAUCAUUUGUCUCUUGAACAACUUGAUUUCUUCUGGAUUGCCUCCAGUCACAAUUAGGUCAUCAACAUAAACUCCCAAGAUGAGUGCCUUGUCACCAGUACCCCUGGUGUCAGCUUGUUCACUCAAGCAUUUUCUAAAACCAAGCAUAUUCAAACUCUUGUCGAGUGUGAUGUUCCAGGCUCUGGGAGCUUGCUUCAAGCCAUAGAGGGCUUUGCUCAAUCUGAACACUUCCUGCUCCCUACCCUUCACUUUGUACCCUUCAGGUUGUGAAACAUAUACCUCUUCCUCCAACUCUCCAUGUAAAAAUGCUGAUUUCACAUCAAGAUGGUGGACUUUCCAACCAUUGUUAGCUGCAAAUGCAAGCAGCAGUCCUAUUGUGUCAAGUCUUGCAACAGUUGCAAAAACUUCUUCAAAAUCAAUGCCAUGUUUUUGCACAUAUCCCUUCGCAACUAAUCUAGCUUUGUGUUUCACAAUUUCCCCUUCAGAGUUUCUUUUCAACUUAAAACCCCAUUUUAAACCAAUGCGCCUCUUCCCAAUAGGCAACUCAACCUGUUUCCAUGUUUUAUUCUUCUCUAUGGACUAAAUCUCUUUGUCCAUAGCCUCAACCCACUCUUGAUGUCUAGCAGCUUCGGUGUAGUUGGUUGGUUCAUCAGCUUGAACUAGGAGUGCCUCCACAUCUGAGUCUACUAGUUCCUCUUCUGAAUCUCCCAACUGUACCUCUUCUGUCUCAUUGUAUAUAUCAUUUAGAUCCUUAAAUCUUAGGACCUAAUUGCUGCUCCAAUCUAGUGUUGAGCUAAUUCCAGCAGAUGGACUAUUCUGUGGAGUUUCAAACCCUGCAUUCACUGGUUCAGACUGACUGUCAGCAUCAACUCCCUCUUCACCCUACCACUGUAGCCCAUCUGACAAUGCUUUAGAGCCAUCAGUUGCCACCACUGCUUCAUUCUCUGCUGACGCUUCUUGCCAAUAUUGUUGAUAAGCAGCCUCACCCCCACCAGUAUAAGCCUCUACAGGUUCUCCUUCAUCCACAAAUUCUACUGAGUUUCGCUCAGCUGAACUUCCACUCUAGUCCCACAACAUGUGUUCCUCAAACACUGUAUCUAUGCUGACAAUGAUUUUGUUUGAGUUUGGGUCAUACAAUCUGAAAGCCUUGGAGCCAUCUUCUGCCCCAAAGUAGAUUAGCUUCUUGCUCCUAUCAUCAAGCUUUUUUAAGUGAGGUGUCACUAACUUGGCAUGAGCGAUGCACCCAAAUACUUUCAGAUGUCCCAAACUUGGCUUCCUGCCAGUCCAAGCUUCAUGUGGUGUUUUGUCACCCAAAAUUUUAGUUGGCAACCUGUUGAGGAGAUAAACAGCAUGCCUCACUCAUUCAGCCCAAUACCUGCCUGGUAUCCUCAUGCUUUUCAGCAGGGCUCUGGCCAUGUCCAUGACUGACCUAUUUCUCCUCUCAACAACUCCAUUCUGUUGGGAGGUGAAUGGAGCAGUGAAAUGCCUCUUGAUCCCUGCCUGUUCACAUACACCUGCAAACAUGUUAGAUAGGAACUCUCCACCUCUAUCAGACCUGAGUGCCUUGAUCCUGCACCCUGUCUGAUUCUCCACUUCAGCUUUGAACUUUUCAAAGGUAGUCCGUGCUUGAUCCUUGCUUUUCACAAUAUGCACUUCCAUCCACCUUGAGCAAUCGUCCACCAGUAGCAUGAAGUAUUUGUUUCCACCUACUGUUACUGGUGUGAUUGGUCCACAUAAAUCAACAUGGACCAACUUGAGCUUCUCAUAACUUGCUACUGAGUUGCUCUAGGAAAAGGAAUCCUGGUUUGCUUUGCUGCCAAGCAGUCCCUGCAGACUUGAUCAGGAUGAUCAAUUGCAGGUACACCAGUUGCCAUACCUUUCCCAACUAGUUGUUUUAGAGAUCUAAAAUUCACAUCUCCUAAUCUCCCAUGCCAUAACCAGGCUUGAUCUUGCACACUAGCAAAUAAGCAGAUAGGUUCAACUACUUUCAAUUCAGUUUUGUACACCCUGUUAACAGCUCUAGGGACUCUCAUGAUGACUCUAUCAGAGUACUUCUCUACCACCUCCAGAUCAUCAUCAUCAUCAAGUAAGAUCUUGUGUCCUAACUCUGUUAACUGACCAAGACUGAUAAGAUUACUUCUUAGUCUAGGUAUGUAGUAAACAUGUGAUAAUACCCAUUGGUCACCCUAGUUCCCUUGAAAAACAAUUGUACCUUUACCCUGAAUUCAAACAGUAGAGUCAUCACCAAAUCUCACCUUGCCAGUUACGCUGUGAUUCAGAUCUCUGAACUUGUGUAGAUCACCAGUUAUGUGAUUGCUUGCACCAUUGUCCAGGUACCACAAAUUUCCUAUCAGAUUACCUCCUUCAGACGGAAGAAGUUUAGGCAUGAUCCUUCUUUCAUUCAGAAACAGUUGUCUGUUUCCAGGCAGGCACUGUAGCUCGUCCGGCAAAGCCAUUUCAGCUAGCAGAACUGUCCCCUCCUUGGUUGCCCCUUCUUUCUUCUUCUCCCCUGGACAUCUAUUGGCAUAGUGCCCGAACCCAUGGCACUUGAAACACUUGACAUGACUUUUGUCACGCUUCUCGGUGUGUUCCUUGCCGGUGUCACCACCGUUGCCGCGGCCACCGUCGUUUCUGCGACCACGACCACAUCCUUGGCUGCCUCCGUCAGGUUUCUUCCACCUGCCAGAAGACUCGCCUCCCACAGUCUUCUGUCGUGCCUCCCACUCCGCCUGAGUGAGCAGUACUGCCCCUUAGUACGCGCUGCGCCCUUUCCACGACGUGUGCGCUCCUCGAAAGCCUUCAGACGCCCCACCACCUCGUCGAACGCCAUGGUCUUCAGAUCGUAGAACAUUUCGAUCCCGGCCACGACGUUGAGGUAACGGUCGGGCAUGAUGUCGAACAGCUUCUUGAUCAGAUCUGCGUCUCCGAUGCUCCCCCCCAAGCUGCUGCUCCUGACCGACAGCGAGGUCAGUUUCCCCACAACUUGAUCGAGUGGGUCGUCCUCCUUCAUGUUCAUAGCGUCGAACUCACUCUUCAACGUCUGCAGCCGCGCAUCCCUCACACGAUCUGCCCCAAUGAACCGAGCCUUCAAAGAGUCCCACGCCUCCUUCCCCAUCUUCUUGUUAGCCACCUGCAUCAAGAUAUCAUCGGGGAUACACUGAAAGAGAUGCGCCUUCACCUUCUUGUUCUUCGCCGUGAUCUUCGCCUUCUCCUCCGGGGUUAACGCCAUCGCCGACGCAUCCUCCUCCGGCUCCACCACCAUCCACUCAUCCCGAUCCUCCAUAAUCGCCUGAACACGAAUACACCAACUGGUGUAGUUCAAGUUCGUCAGGGUUGGGUAGACCUGGCGCGCUUCCCCGCCACCUUGCGCCCCAUCCCUGCUCCCGCUUCCUCCGCCGCUAGGAACGAUCGACAUGGAUUCGAUCUAGAGUGUCUCCGCGAUUGAUUGACGACUCUGAUACCAGAUGUAAGUUAAGGAUCGACAAUCAAACGCUGUAUGGUGGAUUGGAAUGGCAAGAACACGAAGAACAGACAAGGGUUUCAGGCAGAACACCACCAGGCGACAGGGUGACACUGCCCCUUUUCAGGUUAUGAGAAAUGAGAUUACAAAAUGCCUAACCGGCAUUACAACGCACACCACAACUUCCCUUACACCAGGGUUUUAUGGAGAACCAACUAACUUCUCAAAAUAGGCUAAACCUGAUCCUAAAGACCCGCUCAAAAUGGACCAAAAACACACGGUUCAGAAACACAGGACGCCGUGGACGCGCUCACCGUAGAUCCACUUCUCUAGCUUCAACUUGUCCCAUUCAAACUGAACUUUUGCGCCAUCCUUUGUCAUCCCAACCGUGGCAGUUGAUGUCUUUAUUGUUGUGACUGGAUUAAACACCAACAAGAGCACCUGGCACCCCAUUGCUACACUCAAAGAUGACGUGUGCUCACAGUAUGGUAAUUAAACACACUUGUGUUAACCAUAAUUUCUUGUUCUUGCAAUCCAAUUAUGCAUUAAUAAUUAAUUGUUUCAUCUUGGCCUUGGCACGCAUGCAGGGCUCUCCAAGAACUAUGUUGUGUGCACUGGAACCACCGACAGCAUAGCAGCGUUUCUUGUAGCCCGCAACAGUGAACUAGGAAGAGCUGUGAGUACUAGCAGUAAAUCAGUAAUGUAGUGUCACGAACACGCACCAAAUACAGUGUCGUGUUCUUGGUUUUUUCUUGAUUGAAUCGAAGAACUAAUCUGUAGUACCUGUUAAAUGUAAUGAAGGUGACGUCGCUGGGUUCAACUCUGGCGAUCAAGCUGGUGAGCCAAGUCCGCGUGGACGACGUGAGGUUCGGCGUGUACAGCCACCGCCCGGAUGACACGUACUGGCUCGUCGGUGGGGCGUCCAACACCGGGGGAGCCGUGCUCCGGCAGCUCUUCACCGACGACCAGCUCAUGGCGCUGAGCGACCACAUCGACCCGGCCAUGCCUUCCACGCUCGACUACUAACCGCUGCCGGCCAAGGGCGAGAGGUUCCCGGUCUCUAACCCCGACAUGACGCCAAGGUUGCAGCCCCGCCCUGUGAGCGACGCCGAGUACCUACACGGCAUACUGGAAUCCAUCGCGCGAAUUGAGGUCUAAAUAAAACUAACUAAACCAAUCAAAUUUUGUUGAUUUUGGCACAUCAUUAGAUUUGAAAUUAUUAAGCUACUAUAAGUGUACUUGUGUUUCUGAUUUUUUAUGGGCAUGGAUGAACCAGGCCAAGGGGUACAAUCUGCUCAAGGAGCUCGGCGCGACGGCGGUGGAGGAAGUGUUCACGGCAGGGGGAGGGGCGCAGAACGACAAGUGGACGGCCAUUCGGGAGAGGGUGCUCGGCGUGCCGGUCCGGAAAGCCCACCAGACUGAGGCAGCCUAUGGAGCUACAUUGCUAGCACUCAAGGGCGCCAGCAGUUUAAGCUAGCUAGUGUGUCUAUUAUUCUUGAAAAAAAUGAUGGCAGAUGUUUUCAGAACCUUUCUUGGUCAGGAUUCAGGAGUUGGUGGUGAUUCGAGCUGGCCGGGCCCAGCAACAGGCCCAGGUCCUGGUCUAGGAGGAGUAACACGACGGUGUUUGCUAGAGGUGAAAACAGAUCGGAUACUAACGGAUAUCACUGAUAUCAUAUUUAUUUUUAUAUUUUUGGUCGGAUUCGAAUACGGAUAAUGUCAACAAUGUCGGGUAAGAUACGAUUGGAUGUCGACAUCAUAAAUAUACGAUUUAAAUAUUUGGAUACAGAUACGGUAUCGGAUAUUAAACAUUCGGACUCGGAUACGGACAGAUGUCAACCCCUCUAAACGAAUUCGGUCUCGAAUACGGUCGAAAAAUAUCCAUAACAUUUUCAUUCCUAGUGUUUGCGCUGUGAUCGAGUGAGAUCAGUAUGCACGUGUGCCUGUGUCCAGAGUGUAGCCAAGCAUAUAAAGAUGUAUAAUGAACAAAUCGAAUCAAUCUAAUAAUCCUGCAAACAAGCUCUGUGGAUGAGCUAGGGGGAAAGGGGGGAGAUGUUUGGUUUCUUGUGCUAAAAUAUGAAGCUGAUUUUGUCAAGGAUAGUGAUCUCAUGACAUCUUCUCUUUGCGGCUGCGGAUGAAUCAUUUGCCAAAGGCAUGGCACAGAAUGCUAUGGCAAAAGCUUAUAUUCGUCGGCAGCUGCAUAAGGCCUUCACCAACGUAGGCUACAAGAAACAUUAGCCUUAGUAAAAAGCAGUUAUCCAUGUAGCUCGGGAUGGAUGGAGCCAUCAAUUCUCACAGCGCAAGCCAUAUGUAUUGGACCACGAGCAUUACUUUUUUCUCUCCAAACGUCACUCUCAAACCAUUGCUUUUUGGAAUCUAUCAACCAAUCUUAGGCCUUGUUUAUAUCUACAAAGUUUUUAGAUUUUGGUACUGUAGCACUUUUGUUUUUAUUUGACAAACAUUGUCCAAUCAUGGAGUAACUAGGCUUAAAAGAUUCGUCUCGCGAUUUACACGCAAACUGUGCAAUUAGUUUUUGUUUUCAUCUAUAUUUAAUGCUUCAUACAUGUAUCGCAAGAUUCGAUGUGAUAGGAAAUCUUGAAAAGUUUUUGGUUUUUGAGGUGAACUGAGCAAGGCCCCAGAGUGUUCUAUGCCUGUUUUGCUUCCUUUUUAGCUCAAGCCGAUGCUUUUUUGACGAGGCAACAUUCUCUUCUGCAAGACAAUAUGACACACUGCAAAGCCACCUUCAGACUGUCUCUCUCCUCCACUCUGUUAUCCGAGCCUAGCUGUCUCUAUGGGGCUAACGACACGGUGGCGCGUUGGGCAUGUGAAGGGUCGAGAUGGCAGACUAGGGGGGUGAAUAGUCCUUUCUAAAACUUAAAGCGUCGGCUAACCGAAAUAAGUGCGGAAUUAAAACUAUCGGUCUAGCCGAGACUACACCCCUCUAUCUAAGUUCUCUAGCACCUUGUAAAAGAUCCUAAAUAAGCAAACAAGGUGCUACCUUAGCAAGAGCUCACCUAACCAAUUCUAGGAGCAAGGUCACACAAACCGAUGCCACCAGUACUUUGCAAACCGGAGAGCUCCUACACAACUAACCGGAGAGCUCCUACACAACUAGUAAGCAAAAGCUCAAAGCUCCUAAGCUCACUAGCAAUGCUCAAUAACAAGGCAACCAAUUCCAAAUUAGAGAGCACAAAAUACUUAGCUACACAAACUAAGCAAUGUGACUAACAAAGUUACACAAACCAAAUUAGUCACGCAAGGGAACUACUUCUAGCUACACAAGCAAGAAGGUAACUAGCAAGCUACACAAGCUAACUAAUUACAAGAGAAACUACACAAGCACAAGUAUAUGAAAAUAAGCACAAGCUUGUGUUAGGGACUUGCAAACCAACGGGAAGAACAAUGUUGACACGAAGAUUUUCUCCCGAGCUUCACUUGGUUGCCACCAAGCUAUGUCCCCGUUGAGACAAGCUCCAAGGUUGCCGCUAGUCCUCUUGCUAGUGGUGACCCGCAAGUCACACUCUCCCACGUGGAGUGCUUACCACAAGCUCUAGCACUUGACCCGGCCGGACCACUUGCCGCUCUUCACGUCUCGCUCAACUAGAGUUGCUCUUCGCGAUCACCGCGUGGUGAGCACCGUACCCCUCACAAUCUCUUCUCCGAAGCACCGCACAAUCUCCUUGCGUGCUUCGAUGGAGUCACAAGCCAUCAAGGAGGUGGCAACCUCCAAGAGUAACAAGCACCACCGGCUUGCAACAUGAACACCUAGUGCCACUCGAUGCAAUCUCUCAAUGCAACGCACUAGAAUCACUCACUCGCUAUUGAUUCGCACUCUUGCAAGCACAAGUGAGUUAGAGGCUUUCGUAGCACUCCCCAAGCAUGGACACUAAGUCCCAAGGGUGCUCUGCACUAGCCAAGGCCAGCCACCACUUCUAUUUAUAGCCCCAAGGGCUAAACUAGCCCUUACCCCUUUACUGGGCAAAACACGUGGGCACCGGAAGCGCUGUAGGGAGCCACCGGACGCUCCACCCCAGCGUCCUGUGCUCAGGCGUCAGCCACGUGUCACUAGCCAUUUGAACUCGACCGUUGCCGCCAACGGCUACUACGCACGCGCGCCUGCACAGCAUCACCAGACGCUCUACUGCGUCACACCGGACGCGUCCGGUGCACACCAGACCCAUGCGCAGAGAGCUCCGCAAACUCACAGGGUCACCGGACGCGAGCCACCGGACGCACCCUGAGCAUCCGGUGCUCACCGGACUCAUGCGCAGAGAGGGUCGCCAAACCGCCUGCACACCGGACGCUGAGCACCGGACUAACUCCGGUGCGUCCGGUGCACUCUGCACACCUGCGCCACAGACACCACACCGGACGCUCUAGACCAGCGUCCAGUGCUGCCAACACCAGCGUCCGGUGAGUGUUUCUCAGCCUGCAACUUCUCCAAAUUUCCCAGCGGCGCAAUAGAAAAUAUACACUUAAUUUUCUCAAAAGCGCCGAGGAACUCCACCUCCUCUCAACCCUAGGAACUCCACCUCCUUUGUAAAUGUGCCAACACCACCAAGUGUACACCACAAUGUGCAAGUGUGUUAGCUUUUCACAAACAUUUUCCCAAAGGAGUUAGCCUCUCAAACUUGCCACGCCACUUGAUCCUAACACAUAUGCAAAGUUAGAUUGCUCAAGUGGCACUAGAUGACCGAUAUGCAAAACAAGUUUGCCCCUCUUGAUAGUACGACCAUCUAUCCUAAAUCUGGUCAUAAACUUCUCUACACACCUAUGACCGGUGAAAUGGAAAUGCCCUAGGUUAUACUUUUGCCUUGCGCAUUCCAUUCCAUCUCCUAUAAUGUUGAUGCAACACAUGCACCAACCAAUCACCAAAUGAUAUGAUCCACUUCAUAUCAUCACGUGACCGUAUUGGUUCAUCGAUCUUGACCACACUUGCUCUUCACCGUUGCCUUGGUCCAUCGGCGCCAAGUCUUGCUCAAGCUUCACCGUCACACGCGGUCCCUCGCUUCAAAGCCUCCGACUUACCCUUCACUCUUGCAACCGGUCCAUCGAGCCAAGCCUCAUCUUGAUCUUCUCCACCUUGGUCACAUGACUCCAUGUCAUGUCUCAUGUGCAAUGAGCUCCUCCAUCAUCAAAUCAUCACCUGUGGACUAAUCUCCUGUGUAUCUCACAUAAACACUAUUAGUCCACCUAAGUUGUCACUCAAUUACAAAAACCAAACAAGGACCUUUCACAUGACUCCAUGUCAUGUCUCAUAUGCAAUGAGCUCCUCCAUCAUCAUAUUAUCACCUAUGGACUAAUCUCCUGUGUAUCUCACAUAAACACUAUUAGUUCACCUAAGUUGUCGCUCAAUUACCAAAACCAAAUAAGGACCUUUCAGCAUGGCCUAAGAAGUUGAGAACUAAAGAUGUGCAUGCAACCCAUGGGCCCGAGGCAUGGUAAUUUGGCCCGGUCCGAGCACAGCCCAACACGGUGGGAAACGGGCGUGUGCCGGCCCAUGACACGUAGUAGGCCGUGCCUGGGCUGAUGCCUUGGCACGCCGGGCGGCACGGCCUGGCCCGCUAACAACGACCAGCCCGUUAGCGGCUCAAGCAAGUAUAUAAGACGAGGAGAGAGGGCGCCCUAACCCUAAUCCCAUUCGGCGCCACUCCCACUCCCCGCCCACGCCGCUGCUGCCCACUGCUCCCCACGAUGGCACGACCCCACCCCACCCUGCCCCAAACCCUAAUCCCCACCUGCGUCGUCGCUCCCCCAUCGAGCACUAGCUGUCUUCAUGCACUCCGGCGAGGUCGCCACCGCCGGAUCUACAAGAUCCUCAUUCGUCUUCCACUCUUCUCCGUCUCCGCCACUCGUCUGCUCCAUUUCUUCAUUGUUGGACUUUGUCUCUAGCUCUCCACCGCUCAUCUUCCUCUUCUCCUUCUCUAUCUAAACCCUAGAUCCAGAUCCUACAAUCUAACCCCCUUCUUCUUUGUUCGCAGGUCACCGACAUCAAGCUGGUGCUGCCGGAGGCGUUGAGGAAAAAUUCGAGAGGUGAAGAAGGAGAUGUUGUGGUGGCCAUGGCGAACAACGAUGGUGAGGACGUCUACUCGUACUUGCCAACCUUGGCCGAUGAGCUCAGGGACUACGGGUUGCUCGGAGAAGACGAUGACAUGACAGAUGUUGCUGACCUCUUGUUCGGUGCAGGGCCAUCGGCUACCUCUGGUGUGGGGCGUGUGAAAGGUCCAAAUGGCUAGAGGAGGGGGGUGAAUAGCCUAUUUAAAAAUUCUACAAACUUCACUAAGCAAGUGUGUUAGUAAAAUAAAUGGUGAAGCUAUUCUAGCACUAGCACAACUAAGCUAUGCAAGCCACCUACACAAGUCUAGCAAGAAAGCCAAAAACUAAGUCACAACAAGAAAGCACAACAAAAGGCUAUCUACACUCCUAAACAAGAAGGCUAAGCUAAACAACUAGCAAGGUAUUGAAAGCCCAAGUUUGGUUUUAGUAAUUAAUGACACCAAGUUGCUAAUGCCUUGUGUUUAAGUGAUUUGAGUUAGGCAUAGCAACACAUGUGAUGAAGGUGCAUGGUGGCAUGGAAAGGUGGCCACAUGAUUACAAAGAGAUGAAGCAUGAUGUGGAGAUCAUGGUGAUAGACGAGGAGUAAAGUUAUCAAGGCAAAGGUAUAAACAUAGGGUUUUACUUUUGCCGGUCUAAGAUGAGUAGAGAAAUGAUCGACCGGAUUUAGGAUAGAUAGCCAACUAUCAAGAGGGGAAAUCACGGUCAUCUCUUAAAUCAAGUGCUACUAGGUCUAUAUCUUGAGCAUAUGCAUUAGGAUCUAGUAAAGUGCUAACUUAACUCCUUUGGUGAAAAUGUUUGUGAAAUGCUAACACACAUGCACUUUGGUGGUGGACACUUUGUGGUGUUAGCACAUUUGCAAAGGAGGUGGAGUUCCUAGGGAUGAGAAGGGUGAGGGUUCCUAUUGCGCUUUUCGAGAAAAUGAAGUGCAUAUUUUCUAUUGCGCCGGUGGGAAAUUUGGAGAAGUCGCGAGAGUGUUUUCUCACUGAGAAACACUCACCGGACGCUGAGUGCGGAGGCACCAAACGCUGGCCUCAGAGUCCGGUGUGCUGUCAGUGUUUAACCCUGCUAGGGUUGAGCACUGGACGCACUCUGGUAGCGUCCGGUGGUUAGCGUCUGGUGUGAGGGGUCUUUGCAACCCUCUCUGCGCGUGGGUCCGUGUGAGCACCGGACGCUACCGGUGCUUAGCGUUCGGUGACCCUGCGGUUUGCAGAACUCUCUGCGCAUGAGUCUUGUGUGCACCGGACGCGUCCGGUGUGGACCUGCAAAGCGUUCGGUGAUCCGCAGGUGACCGUUAGGAUCUGACACGCGAGAUUCAGGACGGACACGUGGCCAACUCCAGUGCACCGGACGCAGGGAGUCGAGCGUCCGGUGCUCACUUAGUAGCGUCCGGUGCCCCCGUUUUCAGCCCUGUGAAAACAGCCAACGUUUAGUUUCUUUGAGGGGCCUAUAAAUAGAAGGUGGCCGGCUUUGGGAGGCUCUCUCUUGCACAUUUGAUUACUUGAGACAUACAUUGAGCUAGAGAACACUCCCUCCACUCAUCUCCUUGCUUGAUUGCUAAUCCUAGUGAGAUUGAGUGAGAUUCAAGUGCAUUGCUUUGAGAGUUGCAUUUAGUGGCACUUGUUUCUUGAGUUUGCUGCGGAUUUCUUGUUACUCUUGGGUGUUUCCCGAUGCCCUAGAUGGCUUGGAGCAGCGGUGGUGUUGAGCUCGUGAUUGGAGAUUGUUUCGAGCCUCACCAAGUGAUUUCUGAGGGGUUCUUGAGCCUUCCCCGUGGGAGAUCGCAAUUGGCUACUCUAGUGGAGUGCUUGUGGCUUGGAGGAUCCCCAUCUUGUGAGUGGAUGUGCGGCACCCGCUGAGGGUUUGGCUUUGAAUUGCCAAUUAGCUCGUGAUCCAUCAAGUGGGUGUAUCGCCACAACGAGGAGUAGCUUGCCGGGAAGCAAGUGAACCUCGGUAAAAAUCUUGUGUCAUCUCUUGCCGAGGUAUCUCUUGUGAUUGUGUACGUGAUUGAUUGGAUAUAUCUCUUCUCUACAACGUCGGUAUAACAAUCACUCUCCUCUCUUUACCUACUUGCCUACCUUGUUAGUUUAGCUUGUGUAGCCUAGUUCUUGUUAGUUUAGAGUUGUUGUGUUUUAGUGUUUAGCCUUCUUGCUAGACUUGUAUAGGUGGCUUGCAUAGCUUAGUUGUGCUAGUGCUAGAAUAGCUUCGCCACUUAUUUUACUAACUCACUUGUUUAGUAAAGUUUGUAGAUUUUUAAAUAGGCUAUUCACCCCCCCUCUAGCCAUUUGGACCUUUCAGGUAUGUAAGUAAGUAAAGGAGUGAAAAGUGAUUGUUAUACCAAUAUUGUAGAGUAGAAAUAUGACCAAUCAAUCACUUACAAUCACAAUCACAAGAGAGAAUCUUCGGCAAGAUUGAAAGGACCUUGAUGUCGUCUAGAGGGGGGUGAAUAGGCGUUUCUAAUCAGCAAUUAAAAACAUGCAGCGGACUAGCAGACCGCGGAACCUCUGGGUUGAAAAGCGGAACCUCCAGGACAUGAAACCUCCUGGCUAAGUCGCAGAGCCUCCUGGCAUCACAGAGUAGUCAGCAGCUGCUACACCAAGAGAUCAAGAACUCAAGCCAAACUUGAAGGUGUGUUUGGUGGUGAUGCCCAGUGGCAAGUCCACGAAGUACCUACACUCACAAACACACACAACCAAGUAGAUCGAGUGGAACACAAAUAAUGCAAUUCAAAACAUAGAGGGCAAGACACACAAUUUAUCUCGUGGUUUAGCUCGCCACCAAGGCUGGCUUAGUCCACGUUGUUGAGGAAGCCACAAAGGCUUUGGGUCUCUUCCAACCCUAUCCUCUUCUCAAGUUCAACACCGAGGUUGAGCUUGAGGUUUCCACUAUGAUCUCCAAGUAAUACAAACUUCUCGCGGCUCACCACAAGCAUGGGAGCUCGCCAAGCAACGCCUAGCCGUCUAGGAAGCUUCACCUCCAAGAGUAACAAAUGUGCAACGAAUGCUUGACGCAGCUGACAAGUGCUCAAGGGUUGAUUUGCUCUUAAUAGCUCUCUAACACUUGAUUAACUACUAAUCACUCACUCUCACAAAGAGAGGGGUUAGAGAGAGAGAGAGCUCUCACAAGGCUUGGAAUAGGUUGGGAGUGAAAUGGGAGCCAACAGCUCGGGCAGAAGACGUGGGAUGAGUAUAAAUACUCACCUGACAAAAACUAGCCAUUGGAGGUCAAAACUAGUCGUUACGACCUACAGACCCCAGAACAUUGCCUAAGAAUCUAUGAUAUUUGAAGGUCAUCCUUGUAUUUAAGCUUCUUUGUGAAGCUAAUAUGUGUGAAUUUUAAUACCACAGAGCAUAUAGCAAUUGCCUCUGUUUGUGUGGAUGAAUUGCUAUGUGCAUGCUUUUAUCCAACGAUCUGGUGGUGAGGAUAAGUCAUUGCUGGAUGAAUUGCUAUGCGAAUAGUCAGUCAGUUAGAUAAUUUGUGUUCUGUAGGUUGAGCAAAGAAGCAACUGCUGAUACCACAGCUAGGCAGGCAACACUGCCUCUGCCAUAACAACUGAUUGUAUUUUCGAUGCGUCCUUGUAUGUAUACUGAUUGUGUUUGGCUGCACCCGAGUGUUGACGAUGAGCACUCCUAGUUCUGCUGGUCUGCAUGUAGAUGCAUGCAUGGUGAUCGAUAUGGUAGUGUAGAUGCAUCAGUGAUCUGUGAAGCAUCUUGGUCCACGUAGUAUGGCUGGUAUUGUGAUUGUGACCCUGGAGCCCUAUCCUGCUACGUGAGGUGUUGGUACUGUUGUGUUUAGUUUUGUGUCCUUGUUCCUGCAUUUGAAACAUCAGUACCUUGCAAUAUGUGUUGGCGUGGUAGCUGUUGAGUUCCUGCUGGUGGCACAUCGAUCCUAGCAUUAGGUUGGAGCUGGGGUCUUAUUGUGUGUUGUGUUUGUGAGCUCUUGGGUGUAACCUGUUUAUCACUUGCACACCAAUUUAAUUAAACUGAUGUGCACGUUAGGGCUUGGUGGAGACUGAUCCCUAGAGCGUUCCAGUCUUUGUGGCAGUGUGAUCGUCCUUGCGAUCUGUUCGUCAUUUGUAUUUUCGAUUAAAUUGGCAGUUUGUGCAUAUCUGCUGUCACUGCUUUGUGUAUUUACCAUAUUAACCGAAACCAGGAUUUGUUGCUGAGUCUUUUAUCAUUUCUUGCCUUCUAGGUAUACCACAAAAUUAUUAAAUUUUUUUGGAAUAAAUCAUCAAAUAAGUUAGGUUGAAGUUAAGUGCGAAGUGGGGGCUGGUUGGUAGCCUGCAAACCAGAAAACCCAAGCCUAGUUGCUAGAGAAGAAAAGCCUGCAUGGUCUAUUAAAUAUAGACUAAAAAAUACUCCCUCCAUCUCAAAUUGUAAGUCAUUCCAAGAAUCUUGGAGAGUCAAACUUUCCUAAGUUUGACCAAAUUUAUAUGAUAAAAUAAUAAUUAUUAUGAUACAAACUAAGUAUCAUUAGAUUCUUCCUUAAUUAUAUUUUCAUAGUAUACUCACUUUAUGUUACAAAUCUUUGUAUUUCUCUCUAUAAUUUUGGUCAAACGUGAAAAUACUUUGAUUCUUCAAGAUUUUUGGAACGACUUACAAUUUGGGAUGGAGGGAGUAACUAAUUACAUAGAUUGUGACUAUUUUAUAAGAAAAAUCUUUUAAGCCUAAUUAAUUCAUAAUUUGAUAAUGUGAUGCUAAUCAUGUGCUAACGACAGAUUAAUUAGGCUUCAUAAAUUUGUUUUGUGGAGUAUUGUGGUCUUCUGUAAUUUAUUUUAUUAUUACUAUCCAAAUACUCAAUGUGACACUCUAUGUGACAGUCGAUGUGACACCUAAAACUUUGCACUCUGGGUAUAAACAAGACCAAAAUAUAGGCAUCAUUUUCAAUCUGACCGCUGACUGUCCCCAACAAUGCAACCUAUACCCAAAAUAGGCCCUCAACAAUGCUUUACCUACUCAGAAACGCCUCCCAACAAAUGACCUAUUUUGCGUUCCGAAUGACCACAAGGCGGGGUGGGAGGCGAGCAGCAGUGCUUGAUGGGGACGUAGGCGGGCGACGCUCGACGGGGAUGGAUGCAGGCGGAUGUGAGUUCCUCCUCGCCUGUGGCCGCCGAAUCCAGUAUGCUCCUCGCCUGCGACCGCUGGAUCCAGGAGGGAGAGGCGCCAUGCUCGGCGGGGAGGAGCAGCGCCAGGGUAGGGAGGCAGAGGAGGGGCGGCGCCGGGUAGGGAGAGAGGAGGGGCAACGCUCGUGCGGGGAGAGAGAGAAGGAGGGGCGGUGCUCAGCAGGAAUUUGGGUUCCCUGUUGGAGGAGGGUCAUUUUGAGUGCUUUGCUUGUUCACUGUUCAUGACCCAAAAGGCAGAAAUGGGUCUCGGUUUGAGUGGGCUCCGUUGGAGAUAGGAAAAUAGCGUUGCUUACCAUAUGCAUUGAGUACCAUCUAGCUCGAUCUCCAAUGGACACUGCCACAUUGAUGUGAAUGUUUUGAUGCAUGGCGUGGCGGAACUUUAUGUUGACCGUUAUUGGUGGCUGUCCCUGCAGUUGCGAACUAGGAAAUAAUAUGUCAGUACUCUUGUUGUAAAGUUCCUUUGGUGGCCGGUUUCCACCUGAGAAUGUUAUUUUCCUGGCUGCAAAUAGUGGGAACCUCCAAAAUAGCAUUUGUCGCGUCGUGGCUGAAAGUGUUUGCGAGAAGAUCUCUAUAUUCCGGUUUUGAGUGUUGCUGUGCCAAAGGUCAGCAACCAAUUUGGGCAAUGGGUUUUGUAGGAUUAGGAUUGGAAGGUUGAGAUGGUCAUGUAUAUUUGACCAAAAAUGACACCAUGGUUGGGACCAGAUGCAAGUGUUUCCUUUGUGGAUUUGGUUAUGCAAUUGCCACUGAGGAUGUCUUUGCGUGGGUGACCAGAAUAUCGAUUUUGGUUCCUGAUGCUUUGCCUUCUAGAAGAUUUGUUCGCAUAAUAUUUGGUUUUAAGGAUAUCAUUAAGAAACUUGGAUUUUUUUUUUGUGUGUGUGGCAAUAUUCCAAGAAGCAUGUAGGAUGAGGCUUUUGUUUAUGCCGUGCAGGUCUCUGAUACCCAGAUCACUAUUUUUUUGGCUCACAGAUGCCGUCCCCAGAGCAGAAAGCUUUAGGGGAGCUAGGAUAGUGAUCUUGGAUACCUGCCGAUGAGAAAUGUCCGAUGCUAAAGUUGAUUUUCUCGACAGAGGAUUUAAAGAAAAGAACGGUGGACAUACAGUAGACGGGUAUUGAGACUAGGAUAGAUUGGAUAAAAAGAGUUGGCGAGAGUUACAGUUGCAAGCGAGUAACUAAAGUAGUAAUUCUUAUAUAUAUACAAUGCCAUUAAUUUAGCCUAUAUUAGAUCUUACGCAUCACAAUCCAAACCAACAUAAAUAUGCACAAUAUGUUGUGUUUGAUUAUCUUGUACAUGCAAAAAUAAAGUAGAAAACUGCUACGGCCUGCGUGCAGGCACACAACUCCACCCGCACACCUUCUCUUUCCCGCGUGCAUUCCCUUUUUCCUCGUGUGCUCCCUUGCAGCCUUAUCAUUCUACUGGCUCUGAUGACGUCUAUGUCACAUCCGCUGCUGCCCUCGACCCCCUCUAGAUCUGACAUUUUCCCCUUAUUCUUUAGUGGGUGCCCACUGCCCCGCCGCCUCGCCGUGGCGCGGUAGGGUCUUGUUGGAGCUUUGGGGCAGACUCCUUCUCCCCCACCCUCCAGCUGCUACCAUGGCCAUGGGCGCCUCCGUCCCGACUUUUCCCGGCUGCCUCCUAUGCCGCCGAAACCCUAAUUACCCCCUCCUCCUGUCAUCCCUACCGUCUAGCUGACCUGCCUUCCCGAGCCCCUUCUAAACCUGUCGGAGUUGAGGAAGAAGAGAGGGAGAGUCGAAGAGAGAGAGCACUGAACCCACCACUGCCCAAACCCUAGUUGUUGUCGUCUUCUUCUUUGUCAUCGCAAGCAUGGUCAGAUGUGGAUAAGUGGGAGCGGUCCGAUUGUGAAUGGACGAUGGAUCAGCAUGUGCAGGAUGUUGAAUGAAAUCCUGCACGCUCAGAAAGAAGCAUUCCCAAAUAAAGUAAGAUUUGUUUUUGUUCAUCUACUGUUCGGUUAAACUAUAGAGGCGAAAUUUUUUUUUUAUGAACCCCAUCAAUUUGUGCAAGUCUACAUGUUUUUGUUCAUCUACAUUACCUAAUACAAUCAAAUCUAGUUUACUAGCUAAUGCAGCAUUAGAUUUGCUUUA